RNAcentral lists this ribosomal RNA (459 nucleotides) under Lodderomyces parapsilosis. Its description in RNAcentral is "eukaryotic LSU rRNA". The stretch from base 122 to 275 matches the Rfam family "5.8S ribosomal RNA". The record is from RNAcentral. Lineage: Eukaryota; Fungi; Ascomycota; Pichiomycetes; Serinales; Debaryomycetaceae.
AACUGCAUUUUUUACACAUGUGUUUUUCUUUUUUUGAAAACUUUGCUUUGGUGGGCCCAUGGCCUGCCAGAGAUUAAACUCAACCAAAUUUUAUUUAAUCAACUGAUUAACUAAUAGUCAAAACUUUCAACAACGGAUCUCUUGGUUCUCGCAUCGAUGAAGAACGCAGCGAAAUGCGAUAAGUAAUAUGAAUUGCAGAUAUUCGUGAAUCAUCGAAUCUUUGAACGCACAUUGCGCCCUUUGGUAUUCCAAAGGGCAUGCCUGUUUGAGCGUCAUUUCUCCCUCAAACCUUCGGGUUUGGUGUUGAGCGAUACGCUGGGUUUGCUUGAAAGAAAGGCGGAGUAUAAACUAAUGGAUAGGUUUUUUCCACUCAUUGGUACAAACUCCAAAAUUCUUCCAAAUUCGACCUCAAAUCAGGUAGGACUACCCGCUGAACUUAAGCAUAUCAAUAAGCGGAGG